This is a long non-coding RNA of Brassica oleracea var. oleracea, 1300 nucleotides long. RefSeq lists it as uncharacterized. NCBI's taxonomy places the organism in Eukaryota, Viridiplantae, Streptophyta, Magnoliopsida, Brassicales, Brassicaceae. The transcript has 6 exons. The record is from RefSeq and is a predicted model, not a curated record.
UAUCUAUAUUUAUCUUUAACAAUUUUUAGUUAAAGUUGCAAAAUUUAGUCUUGACAAAAAAAGAGAGUUCCAAACAAAAAAAACAAUUGAAACCCUAUCGACUCUCUCUUCUUCUCCCACUCGCCGUCUUCUCCGAAUCACCACCACGGCCAUCACCACCGGUCCUAUCCCAUCUGUCAGCAAGUCCAGCACGUCUCCGUCCAACUCUUCACCCCCGUUCCUAUUUUCCUCGUCUCCUCCUGUCGUAAUCUCUCUCAUUCUAUUUGCUUCUACUCUAUCAACCUCAGGUUUUUCCUUACAAUCCAAUGUAAGCAACUCUUGUUCGAUUACUUUGCAGCAGGAUUCUCGGGAGUGAGGAAAGUUGUGAGUCGGAGACGAACAGCGGCGGCGAGGAGACAUAGCUUAACUUCGACUUCCAUGGAGUUUGGCGUGUGUUCAAGCUCGAGGGAUGAGGAGAUGGAUUCAAGGGAGGAGAUGGAGUUGGAUUCAAAGAAUAAGUCUUUUACCCUCUUUCUCAGAUUCAAUUUCAUUUCUAAUUUAAUGUAUUGAUUAUGGAGGAAAUAACCAUAUGACAGGAAUUCAAUUGAGACAGAGACGAGCGAAGAGACGACCUGCCUCUCGAUCUGCCAAUCUAAGUGAGCAAGCUCGUUCGUAUGUUGAAGGUUGGAGGUGAAGCAGUGGAGAAAUUCUUGGUUCCAGGAGAGCCCUCGCUAUGAUGGAGCUAAUUUACCUCAUUCUUCGAUUCCCCUUCUCAAUCUCACGGGCUUCUUCUCUCUCUCUCUCUUUUGUUAUUGCAGUGUUCUUGUUCAAUGUUGCAGGGCUCAAGAUGGUCGUUUGUGAAUCUACUCCCCUUGUCAAAUAAGGUCAGGUGAGCAAGCGUUGUUAUGUGAUGUUCAAGGGUGUAGGAAACUGAUGUUCUCGAUUAACUUCAGCGCUGCUAGGAUUUUGAAGUAGGGCAUUUGCAUAACUCAUAGGAGCCAACAUCACGAGUAGUAUGACUUCUGUAAUGGGACUCCAUGAAUUUGGUUGAGAUCCUUAAACUAAGAAGAAGAAGAUCCUUAAAGAGAUCUAUUGAGGGACACACGAAUAGCACACAAAGUUGAUGGAAGAGUAUGAAGACUAAGAACAUGAGCGUGGACACACUUGUGGAUUAGUUUUAGGUUUAGUUUAGGGUUAUCUGGUUUGAUUUUGGUUUAGUUUUUUAUUUAUAAACCAUAAUAUUUUUGUAAAUCAAAAUUUCUUUUCUAAUAAAUUGUAUUAUUUUUUUAAAAGCAAUAUAAACCAAUUAUAACUAUUUAGA